RNAcentral lists this ribosomal RNA (365 nucleotides) under Quasipaa boulengeri (spiny-bellied frog). Its description in RNAcentral is "partial 12S ribosomal RNA". It matches the Rfam family "Bacterial small subunit ribosomal RNA", at positions 848 to 1384 of the family's 1533-position model. The record is from RNAcentral. Lineage: Eukaryota; Metazoa; Chordata; Amphibia; Anura; Dicroglossidae.
AAAUAACUCACUUCCACCAACGCCAGGAUAUUACGAGCUUUAGCUUAAAACCCAAAGGACUUGACGGUGUCCCAUCCAUCUAGAGGAGCCUGUUCCAUCAUCGAUAAUCCCCGCUACACCUAACCACCCCUUGCCAAUCAGUCUGUAUACCUCCGUCGUAAACUUACCAUGUGAGUGCUCACAGUAAGUUUAAUGGCCACCAUCACCAAUACGUCAGGUCAAGGUGCAGCUCAUGGGGCGGCAGGCAAUGGGCUACAAUUUCUAUACUAGAACAAACAAAACGCUGCAUGAAAUACAGCCGCAAAGGCGGAUUUAGUAGUAAAAAGAAAAUAGCGUGUUCUUUUUAACUAGGCCCUGGGACGUGU